Molecule: ribosomal RNA, 253 nt
Filed under: uncultured bacterium
Lineage: Bacteria
Description: partial 16S ribosomal RNA
Rfam family: Bacterial small subunit ribosomal RNA
Source: RNAcentral
UACGAAGGGGGCUAGCGUUGCUCGGAAUCACUGGGCGUAAAGCGCACGUAGGCGGAUUGCUAAGUCAGGGGUGAAAUCCUGGAGCUCAACUCCAGAACUGCCUUUGAUACUGGCGACCUUGAGUCCGGGAGAGGUGAGUGGAACUGCGAGUGUAGAGGUGAAAUUCGUAGAUAUCCGCAAGAACACCAGUGGCGAAGGCGGCUCACUGGCCCGUUACUGACGCUGAGGCACGAAAGCGUGGGGAGCAAACAGG